GGUCCCUAUGUGAGUAUACUAGUAUAUAUGAGAAUGAAUCUAAUCCGUAGGAUUAGAUGAAAUUCAAGGGCUAAGAUUAACUUACCACCUACCAAGUAAUAAAAGGAAGACGUUUCUCUCUCUAAAACUAAUAUCAGACGUUCACUCUUUUCCCUCUCUGUAAAAUUCAACCUUCUUCCUCUCUCUCUCACCAUUUUCUCUCUCCUCAAAAACUGCCAUUAAAGCUUAAAAAAAUGCCGAUGAAGCUUCUAUUCACUCGAUUAUUCGUUGAUUUCAAGUAGUUUAUCGUCGAAUUCUUGUAUAUUUCUUCAUUUCUUCUACAAUUUUCGUCAAUUUUAACCUAUUUUUUUUGAGUUCGGAUACAAUUGAAGAUGAAGAAGCAGAAAAUUCACAAAAAUUAGGCCGAAAACCUAGGAACGGAGAAGGAAAAAUAUGAAAAGUGGAGAUGAAAUUGCAUAAAAGAAAAUCGACGAAAAACAAAAAUUCAGAUUCAGGAGAUCGAGAAGAAUCGUAGAGAAAAUUCAUAUGACGAAAAUGAGAUUAAACGAGUCAAACCAUCAGAGCCACAACGCACUAAUAGCCCCACUGCCGAACAAGCACUUCUGAAGGACAUCCUUGAAAAUGUUGGGUAAUAUUUUAUAAUCUCAAUUCUUUAGAACAUGAAGGUUCAACAUUUAGAACAUGAAGGUUCACUGUUUAGAACAAAAUUGUUUAAUGUUUAGAACAUGGAAGUUACUUUUUAGAACAUCAAAAUUGUUUAAUGUUUAGAGCAUGGAAGUUACUUUUUAGAAUUUUUUGCCCUUAUUUGAAGCAUGGCAUAUUGACCUUAUGUCAGACUGCUUGUAGGCUCU
Molecule: long non-coding RNA, 851 nt
Organism: Spinacia oleracea (spinach)
Lineage: Eukaryota; Viridiplantae; Streptophyta; Magnoliopsida; Caryophyllales; Amaranthaceae
Exons: 3
Source: RefSeq, a predicted model, not a curated record